GGCUCCGUGGUGUAUAAACACAUCAGAUUGCAAAUCUGCAGAAGCAGGCUAAUUGCCCGCCGGGGCUU
Molecule: transfer RNA, 68 nt
Filed under: Astroblepus sp. NM-2010
Lineage: Eukaryota; Metazoa; Chordata; Actinopteri; Siluriformes; Astroblepidae
Description: tRNA-Cys
Rfam family: tRNA
About the family: Transfer RNA (tRNA) molecules are approximately 80 nucleotides in length. Their secondary structure includes four short double-helical elements and three loops (D, anti-codon, and T loops).
Source: RNAcentral